RNAcentral lists this ribosomal RNA (497 nucleotides) under uncultured bacterium. RNAcentral's name for it is "partial 16S ribosomal RNA". It matches the Rfam family "Bacterial small subunit ribosomal RNA", at positions 28 to 507 of the family's 1533-position model. The record is from RNAcentral.
GAUGAACGCUGGCGGCGUGCCUAAUACAUGCAAGUCGAGCGAACGGACGAGAAGCUUGCUUCUCUGAUGUUAGCGGCGGACGGGUGAGUAACACGUGGAUAACCUACCUAUAAGACUGGGAUAACUUCGGGAAACCGUAGCUAAUGCCGGAUAAUAUUUUGAACCGCAUGGUUCAAAAGUGAAAGACGGUCUUGCUGCCACUUAUAGAUGGAUCCGCGCUGCAUUAGCUAGUUGGUAAGGUAACGGCUUACCAAGGCAACGAUGCAUAGCCGACCUGAGAGGGUGAUCGGCCACACUGGAACUGAGACACGGUCCAGACUCCUACGGGAGGCAGCAGUAGGGAAUCUUCCGCAAUGGGCGAAAGCCUGACGGAGCAACGCCGCGUGAGUGAUGAAGGUCUUCGGAUCGUAAAACUCUGUUAUUAGGGAAGAACAUAUGUGUAAGUAACUGUGCACAUCUUGACGGUACCUAAUCAGAAAGCCACGGCUAACUACGUG